AUUUAAGGCAACCAGACCAUUCCUUAUUGAGAUACUGCACACGAGUCAGCUUCAAAUAUCAAAUAUUACUUUAACCAAUUCUCCAUCGUGGCAUGUCCAUCCUAUAUACUGCAGGUAUAAUGAUGUUAAUUCUAAGCGCAAUUGCCCAUUUUUGCGUACUGUGUGGUUCUGAUGAAACUUGCAAUGUGCAGUAAUGUGGUGAUCGAAG
This 208-nucleotide unclassified non-coding RNA is filed under the name Hevea brasiliensis (rubber tree). The record is from RNAcentral. Lineage: Eukaryota; Viridiplantae; Streptophyta; Magnoliopsida; Malpighiales; Euphorbiaceae.